Cervus elaphus (red deer) is the source of this 267-nucleotide long non-coding RNA. RefSeq lists it as uncharacterized. The record is from RefSeq and is a predicted model, not a curated record. The transcript has 3 exons. NCBI's taxonomy places the organism in Eukaryota, Metazoa, Chordata, Mammalia, Artiodactyla, Cervidae.
ACCAGGCCCGUGGAGCUCCUGGGAGGCUCAGCACCCAGAUAUGAGCCCCUAGCUUCCCCGCUGGCGGUGGAGGGCACGGAAGUGACCCCGGCUCUGUGCUCCCACGUUGACCACACGUCAACCCGAAGACCGCUUUGGAAAGGAAAGUUUGAAAGUGGAGAAAUGUACCAAGAAAAUUAAAAUCACCUGCAUCCUUGCCACCCAGAAAAAGACACACAAAGAAUUUGCUUGCAAGACUGGAGACCCAGGUUUGAUUCCCUGAGUCAG